AGGACGAACGCUGGCGGCGUGCCUAACACAUGCAAGUCGAACGGACUGAUCCCUUCGGGGAUGAAAGUUAGUGGCGGACGGGUGAGUAACGCGUGAGCAACCUGCCUUUCAGAGGGGAAUAACGUUUGGAAACAGACGCUAAUACCGCAUAACGCAUAGGUGUCGCAUGGCAUUUAUGCCAAAGGAGCAAUCCGCUGAAAGAUGGGCUCGCGUCCGAUUAGGAUAGUUGGUGGGGUAACGGCCUACCAAGUCGACGAUCGGUAGCCGGACUGAGAGGUUGAACGGCCACAUUGGGACUGAGACACGGCCCAGACUCCUACGGGAGGCAGCAGUGGGGGAUAUUGCACAAUGGGCGGAAGCCUGAUGCAGCAACGCCGCGUGAGGGAAGACGGUUUUCGGAUUGUAAACCUCUGUCUUUGGUGACGAAGAAAUGACGGUAGCCGAGGAGGAAGCCACGGCUAACUACGUGCCAGCAGCCGC
This 480-nucleotide ribosomal RNA is filed under the name uncultured bacterium. RNAcentral's name for it is "bacterial SSU rRNA". It matches the Rfam family "Bacterial small subunit ribosomal RNA", at positions 26 to 518 of the family's 1533-position model. The record is from RNAcentral.